Molecule: long non-coding RNA, 3988 nt
Organism: Parus major (Great Tit)
Lineage: Eukaryota; Metazoa; Chordata; Aves; Passeriformes; Paridae
Exons: 2
Source: RefSeq, a predicted model, not a curated record
GCCGCGGCCGCAGACAUUGGCGGGGCUUCUGCUUCGCCCUUUUUCCUGGUAUUCUCGGAGCCCUUUCCUUCCUGCUUUUGGCCCUCAGCACCCUUUUUUUUCCUCCCCCACCGUAAUCUCUCCUUUUUUUUCCCCCUUUUUCACCCUCCCCUUUUUUGCAUUCACCCCCACUUUUUUGCUUUCACCCCCAUUUUCUUACUCUUCACAUCCCCUUUCGGUCCCUUCACCCCUUCUUUUUUUUCCCUUCACCCCCCGCCCCUUUUUUUUUCUCCUUCACCCCCUUUUUUUUAUUCUCCUUCACCCUUUUUUUUUCACUUCACCCUUUUUUUUUUCCCUUCACACCCCAUUUUUUUUCCCUUCACCUCCCCUUCCCCCCUCAUAAUCAGGUUGUAAAAGGCCUCAGAGAUAAAUGAGUCCAAACUCGAUGAAAUUCCUCUUCAUGCCCCGUAUUCUUCCCCUCUUAUCCUUGUUUUCUAUUCCCCCUUCACCUCCUAAUUUUUUUUUCCCAGAAUCACAGAAUUAAGUUUGCAAAGACCUCUGAGCUCAUUAAUGAAGUUCCCCUUCAUUCUCCCUUUCCCCCCCUUUUUUUUCCUGUCAUCCCUCACUUUUCCCCUUUCACCCUCUUCCCCCUCCCUUUUUAUUUUUCUUUACAUUUUGUACAUCUAUAAUUUUCCUUCCUCUGUGCAGGAGGUUGGGAGCGAGUCGAAACGUGUUAAUCACUCAUCUCCUCUCCGUUUAAAGUACCCAAAAAAGGGGUGUAAAUUGCCUAUAAAAAGGGGUGUAACUGGGUAUGUCUUAAAAUACCCAAAAAAAAAGGGCUCUAAAUCAUCUGGCUCAGGACAGACCUGGCUGUGACUGAGGUGCUCGGGACCUUUUUUGUGUAAAUAAUAACUAAGGGACAGAAAUAAUUCAACUCAAAACUCUUCCUGUGUUUGAGGUUACCAAGUCUAAGCUUUCUUGCAGCUACAGAUGAUUUUCAUUGGGUGGGGAGAUGUUUUCUCUGUUCAAGUUUGGGAGUUCUGCUUCAUAUUUUUAUUAUUUGGGUUGGUUUUUUUUUUCUCCUUCACUGAACUGUUAUUUCCAGAAUUUGGGAUUUUUAAUCCCUUAGGCAGGGCCUGGCUGUUGUGGUUUUGUUUCUAAGCCUUGCUGGUCUCUGAGCACGGUUUUAGACCCUCUUCCCACAUCCUGAGAGGAUUCCCAGCGUAAACUCAUGUCCAUCCUCACUUCAGCCUUUCCUCUCCUUCAUCCACAUCACAAUUGCUCCUUUUCAAAGCCUCUCACAGUGAACUUUUAAUUCCCAAACACUGAGGAAGUAGGUGAGAGAAUUGUUCAUCUUUCUAAUUGAAAUUUUCGUGCUGGUGGUAAAACUGGGAACAAAUAUUUUUUUAUUUUUUAUUUUUUAAUUUUUUUUUUUGUCACUGGUGAAAGAGGAAGUGUGUGAUGACAAUGAUGGUACCUGUGAAAAGCUGAGGGUUGUAACAACUGAUUUUUCAGGAUUUUCAUCCCUGAAAAUGUCCAAGGAUGGGGUUGGACAGGGUUUGGAGCACCCUGGGACAGUGGGAAGUGUCCCUGCCAUGGCAGGAAUGGUUUGGGAUUUACCAUCCAACCCAUCCCGUGAUUCCACAGAUCAUUCCAGCUCAGUGUUCAUUUAAAUCCUCUCCCCCUGUAAUUUCUUGGUGUGUUUGGUCUUUUGCAGAGUGUCUGGGUUGGUUUUUAUGGAGUUUUAUUGCGUCCUGGUUGUUUUUUCAUGAGCCUGGCGUCAUUUUUGUGAGGUUUGAUGAUGACUUUUUGUGCCCAAGCCAUAAACCCAGUCCUCAUCCCCUGCGGGUUUCACGCAGCUCUUGGAAUUUUUUAGGAUUUAGGAAAUGUUUGGUCUGACAGAGGUGAUUUGACCAGGACAACAAACCAUUCCAGCAGUUAAAUUAAACCAUCCUGGAAAACCCAGCUGUGCCAGGGAGAGUCCUUGCUGUGGAUUGGAGGUUGCAUCUCUUUGCAGCUCCACCAGGAAAAUGGAAAACUUGGGGAGGGGAUUAAACUUUGGAGACUGCCCAGGGAAGUGGUGGAAUCCCUGGAAUUGUUCAGAAUUCCAGCAGUUAAAUUAAACCAUCCUGGAAAACCCAGCUGUGCCAGGGAGAGUCCUUGCUGUGGAUUGGAGGUUGCAUCUCUUUGCAGCUCCACCAGGAAAAUGGAAAACUUGGUGGGAGGAUUAAGCUUCAGAGAGCUUUGGAAGUGGUGGAAUCCCUGGAAUUGUUGAGAAUCCUCUGGAAGUGGUUCCUGAGGCCGUGCUUUGGUGGUGCUGAGUUGAUGGUUGAACUCGAUGCUCUCAGAGGGCUUUCCCAACUUUACCAAUUCCACGAUUCCAUGAGCAGAGGCCGCUUUGCUCCCCAGGGAGUUUGGCCACCGUGAGGUUCAUCCCACCGGUUAAAUUGUCUGGAAUUCCCUGGACAGAAGCCCCCAUGCCUGGUCAGCUGCUCUGAUGUCCACCACAGCUGUCUUGGCAUGAGGAAUUCUUCACAUGUUGGGGUUUCAUCACUUUUCUGUCUCCCAGGAGCCUGGAUCACCUUUUUUCAGCCUUAAACCAGGCAAUUUAACUCCUGGCAAGUUCAGGCCUGGAAUAUUUCAGCCUUGUAGGGGAAACCAAGGAACUCCAGGAGGGUGGAGGACCCCAGACUGGGAGCACUGGGACCACUCUUCGUGUCCAUCUGCCUUCCAGGCCGGUCAAGCCCAACUCCUGCCAUGUGCAUGCACAAGAUCUGGGAAUAUUUCCAUUCCUUUUCCAAAGGAGGGAGAUUUCCAUGCAGUUUCUCUCUCUUGGAGGGUUUGGGAAUUAUUUUUUUUUUUAAAAAAAAAGUGUCUUCCAGGAAGGCAGCAGGGCACAGUGAACUCUGCUGUGCUCUUGAAUCCCUUUUACCAGGAAAAUUUAAUCCAGACUUUUCUACACAGGAACAUUUUGUGCUGUCAGGAGGAGCGGUGGGGUUGUGUUGAUGAUUUUCGGUGCAGGGAGUUCUGUGAAAUUCAGCCUUGGACUUUAUCUUCCUCAGGCUGCUUCUGGAGUUGAUCUGUGGGAAAAAAAAAACUACCACACUUCAGAUAUUUUGUGUUACCCAGUGCCCAAGAUACUUAAAAUAAUUUUAAACCCUUUUUUGGGGGGUUUUAAAAUAACUUCUGCUGCACAGUGGGGAUUUUAGUUGUACUGUUGAGUGCCCCGUUACCCUCUGGGGGAAGAAUCUUUUCCCAAAAUCCAUCCUAAACCCCCUGACACAGCUCCAGCCAUUCCCUUGGGUGAAGUGGCCCUGUGUGUGUUUAAAAGGGAAUCCAUCCUCUUAGGGUUUGGAAUUCAGCUUUUUAAUUUUCAUUUUAAUGCUUUCCCACAUUCCCACUGCUGGGUGCAGAUCCACACCCCUGCCCCGAUCCGUUUAUCGCUUAUUUCAGUGAUUAAAUUUGAAUGUCUGCUCUCGUGAAUCUCAUCAUCAGCUCGUUUUGCCCGUGAAUCCAAAACCAGGACUCUGAGGUUGCUCUGGCUUUGUUGUGGAUGAAUCACUUGCCAAACUCCGAGGAGGAACCCAAGAAGAAGUCCAAGAGGGAAUCCCUUCUGCUGCCAGAUGGAACCCGGGGAGCUGCAGGCUGUGUCGUGGUGGAGCUCGCAGCUCGUCCUGAUCUGCGCUGACAUUUUGAUGUCAAUGAAAUUCCAUCUUUCCCUCCUGGAAAAAAAAAAAAAGAAAAAAAACCGAGAUAGCUGUACAAAAACCCCUUAGGAUGGCAGGUGAAUUCCACCUCAGUAGGAUUGGGAAUUCCAGCAUCUCCUUUCCUUCCUGUUUUCCACCCUUUCUCGUGGACCGUGCUGCUUUUGCUGGGUUUUGUGCCAGAGGAUUGAAGCAGGAUCGCUAGAGCAUCGCUUUUGUUGUUAUUUUGGUUUGGCAGUUGUAUGAAUUAUUUUACCUGUUUGUGUGCUGCCUAUAAAUAAUAAAUGGGUUGCUCAGAUCCUGCA